This 292-nucleotide ribosomal RNA is filed under the name uncultured bacterium. RNAcentral's name for it is "partial 16S ribosomal RNA". It matches the Rfam family "Bacterial small subunit ribosomal RNA", at positions 505 to 796 of the family's 1533-position model. The record is from RNAcentral.
GUGUCAGCAGCCGCGGUAAUACGUAGGAUCCGAGCGUUGUCCGGAUUUACUGGGUGUAAAGGGUGCGCAGGCGGACUGGUAAGUCAGUGGUGAAAUCUCGUCGCUUAACGACGAAACUGCCUUUGAUACUAUCAGUCUUGAGUCCGGUAGAGAUCUGUGGAAUUCCGAGUGUAGCAGUGAAAUGUGUAGAUAUUCGGAAGAACACCAGUGGCGAAGGCAGCAGAUUGGGCCGGUACUGACGCUCAUGCACGAAAGCGUGGGGAUCAAACAGGAUUAGAUACCCUCGUAGUCC